GUAGGUGGCAAGCGUUGUCCGGAAUUAUUGGGCGUAAAGCGCGCGCAGGCGAUCCUUUAAGUCUGAUGUGAAAGCCCACGGCUCAACCGUGGAGGGUCAUUGGAAACUGGGGGACUUGAGUACAGAAGAGGAAAGCGGAAUUCCAAGUGUAGCGGUGAAAUGCGUAGAGAUUUGGAGGAACACCAGUGGCGAAGGCGGCUUUCUGGUCUGUAACUGACGCUGAGGCGCGAAAGCGUGGGGAGCAAACAGGAUUAGAUACCCUGGUAGUCCACGCCGUAAACGAUGAGUGCUAAGUGUUAGGGGGUUUCCGCCCCUUAGUGCUGCAGCUAACGCAUUAAGCACUCCGCCUGGGGAGUACGGCCGCAAGGCUG
Molecule: ribosomal RNA, 371 nt
Filed under: uncultured organism
Description: partial 16S ribosomal RNA
Rfam family: Bacterial small subunit ribosomal RNA
Source: RNAcentral